UACGGGGGGGGCAAGCGUUGUUCGGAAUUACUGGGCGUAAAGGGCUCGUAGGCGGCCAACUAAGUCGGAGGUGAAAUCCCUCGGCUUAACCGGGGAACUGCGUCUGAUACUGGAUGGCUUGAGUUUGGGAGAGGGAUGCGGAAUUCCAGGUGUAGCGGUGAAAUGCGUAGAUAUCUGGAGGAACACCGGUGGCGAAGGCGGCAUCCUGGACCAACACUGACGCUGAGUGAGCGAAAGCCAGGGGAGCAAACGGG
Molecule: ribosomal RNA, 254 nt
Filed under: uncultured bacterium
Lineage: Bacteria
Description: partial 16S ribosomal RNA
Rfam family: Bacterial small subunit ribosomal RNA
Source: RNAcentral